This 300-nucleotide ribosomal RNA is filed under the name uncultured Methanogenium sp. RNAcentral's name for it is "bacterial SSU rRNA". It matches the Rfam family "Bacterial small subunit ribosomal RNA", at positions 496 to 795 of the family's 1533-position model. Lineage: Archaea; Methanobacteriati; Methanobacteriota; Methanomicrobia; Methanomicrobiales; Methanomicrobiaceae. The record is from RNAcentral.
GGUGAAUCCUGGACAACAUGCUAGGUAAGAAGUAGGUUCAAGGCGGGAUGCUGUAGCAUUGGGGUUAGAUUGAACGUAGGAGACCUGAGAAUUCAGCGUAGAAGGUUUAUGGCUUAGCCAAAAAAUGUCGAGUGAUACGGUAGGGCUUGAAUGUUUGUGAAGAAACUAGAAUAUGUAGUGUAGCGGGGAAAUGCUUAGAUAAUACAGGGAGUAACAACUGCGAAGACAGUUUAAUAACAAAUGAUUGACGCUGAUCGUCGAAUGCGUCGGUAGCGAACAGGAUUAGAUGCCCGAUUAGUC